Long non-coding RNA from Syngnathus acus (greater pipefish), 1277 nucleotides. RefSeq lists it as uncharacterized. NCBI's taxonomy places the organism in Eukaryota, Metazoa, Chordata, Actinopteri, Syngnathiformes, Syngnathidae. The record is from RefSeq and is a predicted model, not a curated record. The transcript is spliced from 3 exons.
UAUAAUCCGGUGCGGCUUAUAUAUGGACAAAGUUUUAAAAUGGGCCACUCAUUGAAGGUGCGCCUUAUAAUCCGGUGCGCCUUAUAGUGCGGAAAAUACGGUACAUAUAUCCUAAAAACUGCCACAAUGCUUCUGUCUUUGCUAGUGUAAACCAUGCGGGAUACUCGGGAUAACAUUUUUACAUUUUUAACAAUAAUCAUAAUCGAUUUUCUCAUCAUGACGUACCUUUGUAUCCACAUUUACCAAUGUUUUGAAAUAAAAAUAUUUAAAAAAAAGUGACUCGAUAUGAGAUACCAAUAUAGUAGUCCAUUUUGGAUCAUUCAUUCUCUCCUGUUGUUUCGAUCUCGUUACGCUUAGCUAAUGAGCGUAUUGAAUAAUAUAUGGUGACACCAUUGCAUUUAACAUGAAAGAAGAGCUAGUACAUUAUUUAGCCCAAUGAUUUCUGCAACAACAGUCUUGAUUUAAAUACUCCAGAUAUCAUCCAUGCAUUUUCUAUUCUGCAUUCUCCAGGUGGAUUUAGCUUGCUGUGCUGACAAUCUGACAAUGAAUCUCACCAUGGUUGUUUUUAGAACAGAACCCCACAGCAGGCUCUGUUUGCCUCCUAGUCCUGCCAGCUAGAUCUAACCCCUUCUUGAUCCCAGCUAAUCCUCUCAGCUAAUCUUCACGUUCGAGAGUCACAGCCAAGAGGAAGACAGGAAUAGUCUGAUUGUUACACCACAAGUGUUUGCCUUUUCAGUUUGACGCUUUCAAUGGGAGCGGAGGUCUCGCUGCUCUAAGCACCGGGAGAUCCUUUGGAAAGGAUCAUGUGCACCACAAUGGCUGUCCUUACUACCAUCGGGCUCAUCUUGCGGCAUUUAUUCUCCAGUAAAAUCAACCCGCAGAUGGAGGAAGAGGUGCCAGAUGUGAAGAGCAACCAAGCUCCAGAAAAUCAGAAAUGACGGUCUGCACAUGGAAGCUCAUGCCAAGUUUUCAACCUGGAGUGAAGAAACAACAAAGUUGGUCGGGGGGGCGGAAGGAUUGAGCAUUCUGGUCUGUCCUGCACAUGCUCUCUGUUCUGGGACAGGGAACUGAGGCAAAGGGAAUUUGGGCUGAAUUCCAGUUUCAAGAUAACAUUCUCAUGUUUUCAUGCCAGUUUAAGCUGGUUAGAUUUGCACUAUGACCCUUUAUUGUUGUUUGAGUUAGCUUUGCGUUAAAGAGUUUCUGGCAGAGAGCCAUCGGAAACUAGUAAUGUGCCUCCUUGGAAUAUAUAAAUAAAUAAAUAAAUAAAUAAAUAAAUA